This 204-nucleotide long non-coding RNA is filed under the name Elaeis guineensis (African oil palm). Its description in RNAcentral is "long non-coding RNA (EGUI_LNC031406)". Lineage: Eukaryota; Viridiplantae; Streptophyta; Magnoliopsida; Arecales; Arecaceae. The record is from RNAcentral.
GGGUUGCCAUCUUUGAAAAAAAAAUUUUGAGGAUGAAAUUUUUUUUUAGGGGAGAGAAUGUGAUACCUAGCCAAAAAAAGAGAGCCCAAUUAAAGAUGCAUGAAUUUUAAAGUAGGCCAAAUUGAGAAAAAAAUAAAUAAAGAAAGAAGAUGCCCAGUGGGAGUCUUGUUCUUCCCAAAUUUAUCGAACAAAAUUUGACCUUAA